This 85-nucleotide transfer RNA is filed under the name Aquisalimonas asiatica. RNAcentral describes it as "tRNA_Leu_TAG". It matches the Rfam family "tRNA". From Rfam's summary of the family: Transfer RNA (tRNA) molecules are approximately 80 nucleotides in length. RNAcentral also lists the same sequence under 2 other names. Lineage: Bacteria; Pseudomonadati; Pseudomonadota; Gammaproteobacteria; Chromatiales; Ectothiorhodospiraceae. The record is from RNAcentral.
GCGAGUGUGGCGGAAUUGGUAGACGCGGCGGCUUUAGGUGCCGUUGGGGCAACCCGUGCAGGUUCAAGUCCUGCCACUCGCACCA